AUUGAACGCUGGCGGCAGGCCUAACACAUGCAAGUCGAGCGGUAACAGGUCCAGCUUGCUGGAUGCUGACGAGCGGCGGACGGGUGAGUAACGCGUGGGAACGUGCCCAUCAGUGGGGGA
RNAcentral lists this ribosomal RNA (120 nucleotides) under uncultured bacterium. Its description in RNAcentral is "partial 16S ribosomal RNA". It matches the Rfam family "Bacterial small subunit ribosomal RNA", at positions 30 to 143 of the family's 1533-position model. The record is from RNAcentral.